Molecule: ribosomal RNA, 253 nt
Filed under: uncultured bacterium
Lineage: Bacteria
Description: partial 16S ribosomal RNA
Rfam family: Bacterial small subunit ribosomal RNA
Source: RNAcentral
CACGUAGGGUGCAAGCGUUGUCCGGAUUUAUUGGGCGUAAAGAGCUCGUAGGCGGCUUGUUGCGUCGACUGUGAAAACCCGCGGCUUAACCGCGGGCUUGCAGUUGAUACGGGCAGGCUAGAGUUCGGUAGGGGAGACUGGAAUUCCUGGUGUAGCGGUGAAAUGCGCAGAUAUCAGGAGGAACACCGGUGGCGAAGGCGGGUCUCUGGGCCGAUACUGACGCUGAGGAGCGAAAGCGUGGGGAGCGAACAGG